This 515-nucleotide ribosomal RNA is filed under the name melanized limestone ascomycete CR-2004. Its description in RNAcentral is "SSU rRNA". It matches the Rfam family "Eukaryotic small subunit ribosomal RNA", at positions 38 to 557 of the family's 1831-position model. The record is from RNAcentral. Lineage: Eukaryota; Fungi; Ascomycota.
CAAAGAUUAAGCCAUGCAUGUCUAAGUAUAAGCAACUAUACGGUGAAACUGCGAAUGGCUCAUUAAAUCAGUUAUCGUUUAUUUGAUAGUACUUCACUACAUGGACAACUGUGGUAAUUCUAGAGCUAAUACAUGCUAAAAACCCCGACUUCGGAAGGGGUGUAUUUAUUAGAUAAAAAACCAAUGCCCUCCGGGGCUCCUUGGUGAAUCAUAAUAACUUAACGAAUCGCAUGGCCUUGUGCCGGCGAUGGUUCAUUCAAAUUUCUGCCCUAUCAACUUUCGAUGGUAGGAUAGUGGCCUACCAUGGUUUCAACGGGUAACGGGGAAUUAGGGUUCGACUCCGGAGAGGGAGCCUGAGAAACGGCUACCACAUCCAAGGAAGGCAGCAGGCGCGCAAAUUACCCAAUCCCGACACGGGGAGGUAGUGACAAUAAAUACUGAUACAGGGCUCUUUCGGGUCUUGUAAUUGGAAUGAGUACAAUUUAAAUCCCUUAACGAGGAACAAUUGGAGGCAG